UUUCCGUUGGUGAACCAGCGGAAGGAUCAUUACAGAGAUCAUGCCCCUCGUGGGUAGACCUCCCACCCUGUGUUAUUACGAUUGUUGCUUUGGCAGGCCGCCUUCGGGCACUCGGCUCCGGCUGGUAAGCGCCUGCCAGAGGAAAUUCAACUCUGAAUUUAAGUGUUGUCUGAGUAAAAACAUAAUAUUUAAAACUUUCAACAACGGAUCUCUUGGCUCUGGCAUCGAUGAAGAACGCAGC
This 241-nucleotide unclassified non-coding RNA is filed under the name uncultured fungus. RNAcentral describes it as "sequence contains ITS1, 5.8S rRNA gene". The stretch from base 193 to 241 matches the Rfam family "5.8S ribosomal RNA", at positions 1 to 49 of the family's 154-position model. The record is from RNAcentral. Lineage: Eukaryota; Fungi.